RNAcentral lists this ribosomal RNA (561 nucleotides) under uncultured bacterium. RNAcentral's name for it is "bacterial SSU rRNA". It matches the Rfam family "Bacterial small subunit ribosomal RNA", at positions 338 to 916 of the family's 1533-position model. The record is from RNAcentral.
CCUACGGGAGGCAGCAGUGGGGAAUAUUGGACAAUGGGCGAAAGCCUGAUCCAGCAAUGCCGCGUGAGUGAUGAAGGCCUUAGGGUCGUAAAGCUCUUUUACCAGGGAUGAUAAUGACAGUACCUGGAGAAUAAGCUCCGGCUAACUCCGUGCCAGCAGCCGCGGUAAUACGGAGGGAGCUAGCGUUGUUCGGAAUUACUGGGCGUAAAGCGUGCGUAGGCGGUUAUUCAAGUCAGAGGUGAAAGCCCGGGGCUCAACCCCGGAACGGCCUUUGAAACUAGAUAACUAGAAUCUUGGAGAGGUCAGUGGAAUUCCGAGUGUAGAGGUGAAAUUCGUAGAUAUUCGGAAGAACACCAGUGGCGAAGGCGACUGACUGGACAAGUAUUGACGCUGAGGUACGAAAGCGUGGGGAGCAAACAGGAUUAGAUACCCUGGUAGUCCACGCCGUAAACGAUGAUAACUAGCUGUCCGGACACUUGGUGUUCGGGUGGCGCAGCUAACGCAUUAAGUUAUCCGCCUGGGGAGUACGGUCGCAAGAUUAAAACUCAAAUGAAUUGACGG